Molecule: ribosomal RNA, 167 nt
Filed under: Chaetotyphula hyalina
Lineage: Eukaryota; Fungi; Basidiomycota; Agaricomycetes; Agaricales; Pterulaceae
Description: partial large subunit ribosomal RNA
Rfam family: Eukaryotic large subunit ribosomal RNA
Source: RNAcentral
CGGGAAAAGCUCAAAUUUAAAAUCUGGCGGCUUCGUCGUCCGAGUUGUAAUUUAGAGAAGUGUUAUCCGCGUUGGACCGUGUACAAGUCUCCUGGAACGGAGCGUCAUAGAGGGUGAGAAUCCCGUCUUUGACACGGACUACCAAGGCUUUGUGAUGCGCUCUCGAA